This 93-nucleotide non-coding RNA is filed under the name uncultured Sporolactobacillus sp. RNAcentral's name for it is "yjdF RNA". It matches the Rfam family "azaaromatic riboswitch aptamer (yjdF RNA)", at positions 9 to 88 of the family's 101-position model. Lineage: Bacteria; Bacillati; Bacillota; Bacilli; Caryophanales; Sporolactobacillaceae. The record is from RNAcentral.
AUGAGAAAACACGAUUCGGUUGGUAGUCCGAAUGCAUCAUGAAACAUGGUGUCAGUAUCCUUCCCCUCCUUGGGAUGUCCGUCAUUCCGAUUA